Molecule: long non-coding RNA, 2141 nt
Filed under: Capsicum annuum
Lineage: Eukaryota; Viridiplantae; Streptophyta; Magnoliopsida; Solanales; Solanaceae
Description: long non-coding RNA (CANN_LNC006224)
Source: RNAcentral
GGCCGACUGAGCUCAAUAUAGAAAAGGUAUAUCUACAAUGCGAGGAUGUAAUCCAAGUCAAUAGUAAACAGGGACAAAAAGGGUAAACAACUGUCAAGCUACGCCAAUAAUAUAAAGAAAUAAAUGUAAGCGAUACAAAAAUAAAUAAUCCAGUAAUGACAGACAUAUCAAACAUAACCUAGCUGGGGCCCCAUAAGCCCGCUAGGUACAUUGAAGAAGACAAUUAACCCAACCGUACCCCCAUAAGCCGAUGGGACACAUAAGUAAUGAAAAUAAACAUAAAUAAUCUAUAACUGUGCUAAUCCCAAUAAAUCAUGAUAGUCAUCCAGAUGUGCACUAAACUUGAACCGGGACCAAUUGGUAGUCAUGAGAGGUCAGACACCGGACUCGAAUCGAUAGUAAUGGAUAAUAACAAGAAGACACGUGCCAAAUUCGAACUGGACAUAGUGGGUAAUAACGAUAGGCCACAUAUAUAUAACUCAUAAUCAAAUGUCGAACUCAAAUCAAAACUCAAAGGAACCUCAACCAUAAUUAGAUCCUGAACUCGAAUCGAAACUCAUAGUAACAAUAAUAAUCAAAUACCGGACUCGAACUGAAACUCAUAGUAAUAAUAAUAAUCAAAUGUCAGACUCGAACCGAAACUCAUAGUAACCAUGCCCAACGGUAAUGUUAAAAUUCACACCAUACCAUAACAAUAUCAACGUCUAAAUAAUUAUCAACCAAUCUUAAUUAAAAAGGGAUACAUUCAAGAUUUUGCAAUUUAAUUUCACGUCUUAAAAUAAUAGAUGUUAUAUUAUAUUAAAAGAUAAUAUUUCAAUAUUUACUAAAAUAGGGUCCUAAUCCGGAAAAAUAAGGGAUGCUAGAUAUCAAAUGGUGCGCAACUAUAAGUACUCAUCUAGAGCUAGCAUAAUAGUUUACAAUUUUGGUAAAUAAACUCAAUUUAAAGAUAGGAUAAACCUAAUCUACCUGAAUACCAAAGCUAUAAUAUCUUUUCGCAAAACCUCCAAAUAAUAUCCCACUAGAAAUCAAACUUGAAUAAUUGAUUAAUUUAUUGAUUCUCCCUUUCUUUUUUCACGGCACCCACUGGAUCAUAAAGCCAUAGACAUAAAACAGAGAGUAGUAAUUAGCGGAAAAUGUUUCUCUUUCCUUUUUAACUUAAAGCUGACAAGAAGUUACAAUUAACUUACUUCAAUAAUUUUGCCACACACAAAUCUUAAAUACUGGCCACAAAGGAAACUUUAAGGCACAAGGUAAUCCCUUCACUUCCACGUGGAAGUGGAGGUGCCACUAGUUCACUUUUAAUUACUCCGUUAUAUAUAUUCACAUAUUACAUAAACUUGUGAUAAAAUAAUUAUAAUAUUUUGAAUAUACCAUAAUUAAUAGAAAAAUAUUUUUAAUAAAACCUCUAUUAUGUAAUAAUAAUAUUUUAAUAUUUCUAAAAUUACUAUUUCCGCUUAAAGUAUUAAUAAAUCAUAAAAGUCUAUUAUAAAGUGAUAUAACUAUAUCAUCACUUAAAAAAUUUUACCAAUAUAAAAAAUAUUCUGAAAGGGUACUAAAUUAUAUUUUUACCAAUGUCAAAUUAAAUUAAAUAAUCCACAAUACAUUUAGAUAGUACUAAAAUUAUAUGAAAAUACAGGAAAAUGACCGUAAGGGUCAUUACAACAUCCACUACUAAAAGAACUUUUGUCCACGAAAGUAAAGGAUAAGGUCAUACCUGAAGGCUCAAACAGGUUUGGGUACUGGACGCGCAUAUCAUGCUCGAUUUCCUAGGUAGCCUCCUCAACUGGACGGUGACGCCACAUCACCAGGUAGUCCAGGGGACAACCCAGGCUCCACCCAAUUUUAUAUCCUGGCUCAUAGCUCCAGAUACUCUAUUCAUCCCGAAAUAGCUAAGAUGUAUAGGGAUUUGAAGCAGCAUUACUAGUGGAGUGGUAUGGGGAGAGAUAUAGCUGGGUUUGUGGCAAGAUUUCCUUAUUGGAGCAGAUUUGGAGUCGUCAGUUCGAGGAUAGCACACUUCGUAGCAUUCGAGAGAAUAUUUUAAUAUUUCUAAAAUUACUAUCUCCGCUUAAAAUAUUAAUAAAUCAUAAAAGUCAAUUAUAAAGUAAUAUAAAUAUAUCAUCACUUAAAGAAUUUUAGCAAUA